UGGGGAAUAUUGGACAAUGGGCGCAAGCCUGAUCCAGCCAUGCCGCGUGAGUGAUGAAGGCCCUAGGGUUGUAAAGCUCUUUCACCGGUGAAGAUAAUGACGGUAACCGGAGAAGAAGCCCCGGCUAACUUCGUGCCAGCAGCCGCGGUAAUACGAAGGGGGCUAGCGUUGUUCGGAUUUACUGGGCGUAAAGCGCACGUAGGCGGACUUUUAAGUCAGGGGUGAAAUCCCGGGGCUCAACCCCGGAACUGCCUUUGAUACUGGAAGUCUUGAGUAUGGUAGAGGUGAGCGGAAUUCCGAGUGUAGAGGUGAAAUUCGUAGAUAUUCGGAGGAACACCAGUGGCGAAGGCGGCUCACUGGACCAUUACUGACGCUGAGGUGCGAAAGCGUGGGGAGCAAACAGG
This 404-nucleotide ribosomal RNA is filed under the name Pseudomonas sp. RNAcentral's name for it is "partial 16S ribosomal RNA". It matches the Rfam family "Bacterial small subunit ribosomal RNA", at positions 355 to 776 of the family's 1533-position model. RNAcentral also lists the same sequence under 3 other names. The record is from RNAcentral. Lineage: Bacteria; Pseudomonadati; Pseudomonadota; Gammaproteobacteria; Pseudomonadales; Pseudomonadaceae.